AUGCUCCAUCUCGACCCUCAAUCCGUGACCCUUCUUGCCGUCUUUGCCUUCGUGUGUGAGGCCAUGGUGGGCAUCACCCCCUCCGUGGCGCUCCUCCGCCACUUCUCGCUGCAUCUCACCGGUGCCCGGCAGAGCUCAGGGUGUGUGGGCUUCCAGGCCGUGGCUGCGACGGCAGGCAUGGGGAGCAACUUCGAGCUCCCUUCAUCCGGGAGCGAGUUCUGCAUGCGAUGGGUGUUUGUUGAUGCCGGCAUGCUCAACCCUCUGCUCCAAGCUCCGGUGGGGUCACCAGAGGCUCCCAAGCCCUUGCCUCGCCCCCCUCAGGGCCAGACUGCGGUGGUUGAAGGACCUUGGUGUGACUGCGCCCAUAGUGGUGAGGGAGUACGUCAAGCAUCGAGUUGCCACGCUUCAGCGGCAUUCUCACCCAAUGUGGGUGUGACGCCCCCGAUUUGA
This 450-nucleotide ribosomal RNA is filed under the name Triticum aestivum (bread wheat). RNAcentral describes it as "partial small subunit ribosomal RNA". The record is from RNAcentral. Lineage: Eukaryota; Viridiplantae; Streptophyta; Magnoliopsida; Poales; Poaceae.